This 301-nucleotide ribosomal RNA is filed under the name uncultured bacterium. RNAcentral's name for it is "partial 16S ribosomal RNA". It matches the Rfam family "Bacterial small subunit ribosomal RNA", at positions 509 to 809 of the family's 1533-position model. The record is from RNAcentral.
CAGCAGCCGCGGGAAUACAGAGGGUGCGAGCGUUAAUCGGAUUUACUGGGCGUAAAGCGUGCGUAGGCGGCUUUUUAAGUCGGAUGUGAAAUCCCUGAGCUUAACUUAGGAAUUGCAUUCGAUACUGGGAAGCUAGAGUAUGGGAGAGGAUGGUAGAAUUCCAGGUGUAGCGGUGAAAUGCGUAGAGAUCUGGAGGAAUACCGAUGGCGAAGGCAGCCAUCUGGCCUAAUACUGACGCUGAGGUACGAAAGCAUGGGGAGCAAACAGGAUUAGAUACCCCGGUAGUCCUGUCUCUUAUACA